CCUACGGGGGGCAGCAGUGAGGAAUAUUGGUCAAUGGGCGGGAGCCUGAACCAGCCAAGCCGCGUGAGGGAAGAAGGUACAGCGUAUCGUAAACCUCUUUUGUCAGGGAACAAAGGCGGGGACUAGUCCCCGGAUGAGGGUACCUGAAGAAAAAGCAUCGGCUAACUCCGUGCCAGCAGCCUCGGUAAUACGGAGGAUGCGAGCGUUAUCCGGAUUUAUUGGGUUUAAAGGGUGCGCAGGCGGCCUGUUAAGUCAGCGGGAAAAGCCCGGGGCUCAACCCCGGCGAGCCGUUGAAACUGGCGGGCUGGAGUUGGAGAGAAGUACGCGGAAUGCGCGGUGUAGCGGUGAAAUGCUUAGAUAUCGCGCAGAACCCCGAUUGCGAAGGCAGCGUACCGGCUCCACACUGACGCUGAGGCACGAAAGCGUGGGUAUCGAACAGGAUUAGAUACCCGAGUAGUC
Molecule: ribosomal RNA, 459 nt
Filed under: uncultured bacterium
Lineage: Bacteria
Description: partial 16S ribosomal RNA
Rfam family: Bacterial small subunit ribosomal RNA
Source: RNAcentral